RNAcentral lists this ribosomal RNA (321 nucleotides) under uncultured eukaryote. Its description in RNAcentral is "partial 18S ribosomal RNA". It matches the Rfam family "Eukaryotic small subunit ribosomal RNA", at positions 1470 to 1796 of the family's 1831-position model. The record is from RNAcentral.
CCCUUAGACGUUCUGGGCCGCACGCGCGCUACACUGACCGGUGCAACAAGCAUCCGUCCUUGGCCGACAGGCCCGGGCAAUCUUUGAACGCCGGUCGUGAUGGGGAUAGACUUUUGCAAUUUUUGGUCUUCAACGAGGAAUUCCUAGUAAACGCAAGUCAUCAGCUUGCAUUGAUUACGUCCCUGCCCUUUGUACACACCGCCCGUCGCACCUACCGAUUGAAUGGUCCGGUGAAAUCUCGGGACGGCGGCUUGGUCGCUUGCGUCCGACUGCUGAAACUUGAUUAAACCAUAUCAUUUAGAGGAAGGUGAAGUCGUAACA